This 47-nucleotide ribosomal RNA is filed under the name uncultured Inocybe. Its description in RNAcentral is "partial 28S ribosomal RNA". The record is from RNAcentral. Lineage: Eukaryota; Fungi; Basidiomycota; Agaricomycetes; Agaricales; Cortinariaceae.
UUGACCUCAAAUCAGGUAGGAAUACCCGCUGAACUUAAGCAUAUCAA